AGAAAAAGUCACACCAUGCUGAAUGUGUCUGUUCCCAUCUGGUGUCUCAGUAACUAAGCAGGUUUGGGCCUAGUUAGUACUUAGAAGGGAGAAAUAGAGAAAAUUAACACUUGCUA
Molecule: ribosomal RNA, 116 nt
Filed under: Mesocricetus auratus (golden hamster)
Lineage: Eukaryota; Metazoa; Chordata; Mammalia; Rodentia; Cricetidae
Source: RNAcentral